This 1490-nucleotide long non-coding RNA is filed under the name Marmota monax (woodchuck). The record is from RNAcentral. Lineage: Eukaryota; Metazoa; Chordata; Mammalia; Rodentia; Sciuridae.
GCCACCAAGCCAGUAAGUAGCAGAGCCAACAGUGGAACCCAGGUCAGCCUGUGGUCUGGGCUGGAAGUUUCUGCUAGGCCACAGAGUCCCCGAAGGAAUUGGGUGUGAUCAGCGCCCCCACCCCACCCCCUUUUUUUUUUCUUUUUUCUCUUUUUAAAUACCUCUGGUUUUUGUCGUGACCCUUCUACCAUCAACACCUUCACCCCCUAAAGAUAGGGACAUUUCCUUGAGGAGCAGGAGUCAUUCAACGGAGGAAAAGGUACAAAAUAGUCAAAUUAUGUUGUUUUUUUUUUCAGAUUCAAAAAAAGUCUGUAAAGGGUAAAAACUGUGCAUGCCAGGUUUUGCUGUUCACCGCAGGAAGUCAACGAAUUCAAGGAUCUCUGUACUGCUGAAAAUAGAAUUGUAAAAAAAAAAAAUAAUAAAAAGGGUGGGGGGGGAGAGAGAGCAAACGAAACUAAUCCUAUUAAACGUGGUAGCAUGUUUUUGUGGCACGCAGGGAGAGAUUAAGCACAGGAAAGGGGAUAAGUACUGCUUCAGUUUCACUAAACUAAUGUGACAACUUGUCAUUGGAGAUCUUUACAGCUUGUUAGUAGAUGAGUAGCUGAUUCAGAAGUGUUUUCUAUCAUUCCCUUUGUGUCCCCCAUGAGUUUUUUUUUUUUUAAGUUUUCUUUCUUUUCCUGUUUCUUUCUUCCCCAUGCUGGCUCCAUUUUGCUUUUUAAUCCUUAGUGUCUCCUUCAAGUCAAAACAUUUAGCUGGCUCUAAUCAAGAUUUGGUUUUGAAGAUGCCCCUUGACCUUGGGCUGCCCAGAGAAGCCCCUGAAAAGUCGGCUCUCCAUCCCCAAUCUGGGCACUGUCCUGGGGCUUGAGAAACUGAGUUCUUUGGGGAAAACUCUCAUUUCAAAUUUCUUUUUUUUUCUAUUCUUUUUUUUUUCUCUCUCUCUUUUGCCUUCCAUUUCCAUGCCUUGAUCCUUUUAAUCUGUCUGUUCCUCCUUCUUUCUGUUUUUUUUUUCUCCAACUUCUUUCCCUCUGGUUACUUAUUUCCCUCCCAUCUUCUUUUGACUAGAUGACAAUGAUGACGAUGAUGAUGCUUUGUUCUCCGGGUGGAAUCCAUAGCUUUGUUCAUGCUAAGCACCAACCUCUACCCUGUUGAGAGCCACAGCCCAGUCAGAAUGACGCCUGGCAUAUUGCCAGAGGGAAUGGUUGAAAGGUGAUUCCAGGGAACCGUUGAGAUGAUGAUUUGAGUUAAGCUGUAUAUAAUUGCUGUGAUGCUGGAUUGAUUGAGUUGUAUAUGGACCCUGCUCCAGGAAUAGGGCGGCUCUGGGUAUCUGACUAGGGCGCCCGCUACUUUGGAGGUCCCGUGCAGUUCUUCCCGGGGUUGGGGAGAUUGGGCACGCGGAGCCCGGUGGAAGGUGUGUAUUCCCGAGUAGUGUGUGUGCAGUGCCGGUGAGAGUUGGGGAAUAAAGAAUUGCUGUUUGAACCUACAAGGCUUUG